GGGUCUGCUUAGCUGCAGGUCCUCGCCUUUGGUGGGGAUGCGCGUAUCACUUGUCAAGUGUUGUGCGCCCGGACGUUGUCGAACCUGCUCGCCAGUGCAUUUUCACAGAGUGUUCACCACGACCGGCGUUGUCGUCUGGCUGUUGCGGUUAAACCGGCUUAGUAGGGUCCUUGUGGCCUUGCUGGGUCGGGAUGGCAGGUAGCCUGUUGUGCAUUUAUGUGCUUCAGGUGUAAUAGCUGACUGCAUCGGUUCUGUGCGGUACGUCGGAGACGGCGGCUUGUUGCGCUUGCGUGCGUGCCUGUUGCGCUGGCGGCUCUGGGUCUGAUUGCCUUGUUGCUUGUAAAUGCAAGCCAGGUGGUGGCUCGGGGUCGUUCGGUGUGCGGUUGCGUGCGUGGUGCUUUGAAAGGGCCCACAGUCUGUGGUGUAGUGGUAGACUAUCCACCCGACCCGUCUUGAAACACGGACCAA
RNAcentral lists this ribosomal RNA (468 nucleotides) under Acanthoparyphium sp. 1 A JB-2023. RNAcentral's name for it is "partial large subunit ribosomal RNA". The record is from RNAcentral. Lineage: Eukaryota; Metazoa; Platyhelminthes; Trematoda; Plagiorchiida; Himasthlidae.